Non-coding RNA from Bacillus sp. SA1-12, 84 nucleotides. The record is from Rfam. NCBI's taxonomy places the organism in Bacteria, Bacillati, Bacillota, Bacilli, Caryophanales, Bacillaceae.
AUUAGAUAAAGGCAAACCUUUUGAAAAAUAGGGACGCAAAGCUCCAGGUCUAAGGUUUUAAACUAAGAUGGCUGAGCUGCCUAA